RNAcentral lists this ribosomal RNA (492 nucleotides) under uncultured bacterium. RNAcentral's name for it is "partial 16S ribosomal RNA". It matches the Rfam family "Bacterial small subunit ribosomal RNA", at positions 28 to 507 of the family's 1533-position model. The record is from RNAcentral.
GAUGAACGCUAGCUACAGGCUUAACACAUGCAAGUCGAGGGGAAACGACAUCGAAAGCUUGCUUUUGAUGGGCGUCGACCGGCGCACGGGUGAGUAACGCGUAUCCAACCUGCCCAUCACUUGGGAAUAACCUUGCGAAAGUAAGACUAAUACCCAAUGAUAUCCCACGAAGGCAUCGGAAUGGGAUUAAAGAUUUAUCGGUGAUGGAUGGGGAUGCGUCUGAUUAGCUUGUUGGCGGGGUAACGGCCCACCAAGGCAACGAUCAGUAGGGGUUCUGAGAGGAAGGUCCCCCACAUUGGAACUGAGACACGGUCCAAACUCCUACGGGAGGCAGCAGUGAGGAAUAUUGGUCAAUGGGCGAGAGCCUGAACCAGCCAAGUAGCGUGCAGGAAGACGGCCCUAUGGGUUGUAAACUGCUUUUAUAAGGGAAUAAAGUGGGUCACGUGUGACUUUUUGCAUGUACCUUAUGAAUAAGAACCGGCUAAUUCCGUG